UACGUAGGGUGCGAGCGUUAAUCGGAAUUACUGGGCGUAAAGCGUGCGCAGGCGGUUGUGUAAGACAGGUGUGAAAUCCCCGGGCUCAACCUGGGAACUGCAUUUGUGACUGCACAGCUGGAGUGCGGCAGAGGGGGAUGGAAUUCCGCGUGUAGCAGUGAAAUGCGUAGAUAUGCGGAGGAACACCGAUGGCGAAGGCAAUCCCCUGGGCCUGCACUGACGCUCAUGCACGAAAGCGUGGGGAGCAAACAGG
This 253-nucleotide ribosomal RNA is filed under the name uncultured bacterium. RNAcentral's name for it is "partial 16S ribosomal RNA". It matches the Rfam family "Bacterial small subunit ribosomal RNA", at positions 524 to 776 of the family's 1533-position model. The record is from RNAcentral.